RNAcentral lists this ribosomal RNA (253 nucleotides) under uncultured bacterium. RNAcentral's name for it is "partial 16S ribosomal RNA". It matches the Rfam family "Bacterial small subunit ribosomal RNA", at positions 524 to 776 of the family's 1533-position model. The record is from RNAcentral.
UACGAAGGGGGCUAGCGUUGUUCGGAAUUACUGGGCGUAAAGCGUGCGCAGGCGGCUUCUCAAGUCAGGGGUGAAAGCCCAGAGCUCAACUCUGGAAUUGCCUUUGAGACUGAGUGGCUUGAGUACGGGAGAGGUGAGUGGAAUUCCCGGUGUAGAGGUGAAAUUCGUAGAUAUUGGGAAGAACACCGGUGGCGAAGGCGGCUCACUGGCCCGUAACUGACGCUCAUGCACGACAGCGUGGGGAUCAAACAGG